This 253-nucleotide ribosomal RNA is filed under the name uncultured bacterium. Its description in RNAcentral is "partial 16S ribosomal RNA". It matches the Rfam family "Bacterial small subunit ribosomal RNA", at positions 524 to 776 of the family's 1533-position model. The record is from RNAcentral.
GACGAACCGAGCGAACGUUGUUCGGAAUCACUGGGCUUAAAGGGCGCGUAGGCGGGUGCUCAAGUCCGGGGUGAAAUCCCACAGCUCAACUGUGGAACUGCCUCGGAUACUGGGUGCCUCGAGGGUGGUAGGGGUAUGCGGAACUAUCGGUGGAGCGGUGAAAUGCGUUGAUAUCGAUAGGAACUCCGGUGGCGAAGGCGGCGUACUGGACCACAUCUGACGCUGAGGCGCGAAAGCCAGGGGAGCAAACGGG